This 544-nucleotide ribosomal RNA is filed under the name uncultured bacterium. RNAcentral describes it as "bacterial SSU rRNA". It matches the Rfam family "Bacterial small subunit ribosomal RNA", at positions 355 to 896 of the family's 1533-position model. The record is from RNAcentral.
UGGGGAAUAUUGCACAAUGGGCGCAAGCCUGAUGCAGCGACGCCGCGUGAGGGAUGAAUGCCUUCGGGUUGUAAACCUCUUUCAGUAGGGAAGAAGCUCCUGCUUUGUGGUGGGGGUGACGGUACUUGCAGAAGAAGCGCCGGCUAACUACGUGCCAGCAGCCGCGGUAAUACGUAGGGCGCAAGCGUUAUCCGGAAUUAUUGGGCGUAAAGAGCUCGUAGGCGGUUUGUCGCGUCUGCUGUGAAAGCCCGGGGCUUAACUCCGGGUUGGCAGUGGGUACGGGCAGACUGGAGUGCAGUAGGGGAGACUGGAAUUCCUGGUGUAGCGGUGAAAUGCGCAGAUAUCAGGAGGAACACCGAUGGCGAAGGCAGGUCUCUGGGCUGUUACUGACGCUGAGGAGCGAAAGCAUGGGGAGCGAACAGGAUUAGAUACCCUGGUAGUCCACGCCGUAAACGUUGGGCGCUAGGUGUGGGGCCUUUCCAUGGGUCCCGUGCCGUAGCUAACGCAUUAAGCGCCCCGCCUGGGGAGUACGGCCGCAAGGCUA